Molecule: non-coding RNA, 387 nt
Organism: Paramisgurnus dabryanus
Lineage: Eukaryota; Metazoa; Chordata; Actinopteri; Cypriniformes; Cobitidae
Source: RefSeq, a predicted model, not a curated record
UUUGAGGAAAAUGCACAGCACUGCCAUUUUCUUAAAACUCGUCUGAAGAGCAAAUAAAUGAUUGUUUCUGUUUAUCAUUAGAAACUGACAAUGUUAAUUUGCAGGAACUCAGACAAUUUACCUUUGAAUGAGGACAACCAAUUGAACAACAAAGACUUAAUGCUGCCGAUUCCCUCAGACCCAGCUCUCAAAGUGGAUGUUGGUAAAAUAAAGUGUCCACUUCUGUUGGUGAACGGUGGUGAUGAUCAGAGCUGGCCUUCUGUUGAAUCUGCUGAAGAUAUGAAGCUGAUAAUGGAGAAUGCAAGAUAUCUUCACUUGUUGAAAGUCCUGACAUAUCCUGGUGCAGGUCAUCUGAUCGAACCUCCUUACACACCUCACAUCCGUGCA